UCCCUGGCAGUCCAGUGGUUAAGACCCUGCGCUUCCAUUGCAGGGGACAUAGGUUCAAUCCCUGGCCAGGGAA
Molecule: transfer RNA, 73 nt
Filed under: Bos taurus (domestic cattle)
Lineage: Eukaryota; Metazoa; Chordata; Mammalia; Artiodactyla; Bovidae
Also listed under: 2 other names
Rfam family: tRNA
About the family: Transfer RNA (tRNA) molecules are approximately 80 nucleotides in length. Their secondary structure includes four short double-helical elements and three loops (D, anti-codon, and T loops). Further hydrogen bonds mediate the characteristic L-shaped molecular structure. tRNAs have two regions of fundamental functional importance: the anti-codon, which is responsible for specific mRNA codon recognition, and the 3' end, to which the tRNAs corresponding amino acid is attached (by aminoacyl-tRNA synthetases). tRNAs cope with the degeneracy of the genetic code in two manners: having more than one tRNA (with a specific anti-codon) for a particular amino acid; and 'wobble' base-pairing, i.e. permitting non-standard base-pairing at the 3rd anti-codon position.
Source: Rfam by way of RNAcentral